UACGGGGGGGGCAAGCGUUGUUCGGAAUUACUGGGCGUAAAGGGCUCGUAGGCAGCCAACUAAGUCAGACGUGAAAUCCCUCGGCUUAACCGGGGAACUGCGUCUGAUACUGGAUGGCUUGAGUUUGGGAGAGGGAUGCGGAAUUCCAGGUGUAGCGGUGAAAUGCGCAGAUAUCGGGAAGAACACCCGUGGCGAAGGCGGUUCUCUGGGACGGUACUGACGCUGAGACGCGAAAGCGUGGGGAGCGAACAGG
This 253-nucleotide ribosomal RNA is filed under the name uncultured bacterium. Its description in RNAcentral is "partial 16S ribosomal RNA". It matches the Rfam family "Bacterial small subunit ribosomal RNA", at positions 524 to 776 of the family's 1533-position model. The record is from RNAcentral.